AGCUCCAAUAGCGUAUAUUAAAGUUGUUGCAGUUAAAAAGCUCGUAGUCUGAACCAAGGCCGUCGUUGAACGUCCGGUGUGCUGCCGUUCCGGCCUUCUGGGCUGGUCGGGAGCCCCGUGAACGUGACAUACGCGCGGCCGGUUUGUACUUCGGAGGAACCCGCGUCCUUUUCAUUAAGUGCGCGGUUGGGAUUCCGAUAGUUUACUUUGAGAAAAAUAGAGUGUUCAAAGCAGGCGGUUUUUGCCUUUCCUUUUGAAUACAUUAGCAUGGGAUAAUAGAAUAGGACAUUGGUUCUAUUUUGAUGGUUCACGGACCGAUGUAAUGAUUAAUAGGGACAGUUGGGGACAUUCAUAUUCCAUGGCUAGAGGUGAAAUUCUUGGAUUCAUGGAAGAUGAACUA
RNAcentral lists this ribosomal RNA (400 nucleotides) under phytoplankton environmental sample. Its description in RNAcentral is "partial small subunit ribosomal RNA". It matches the Rfam family "Eukaryotic small subunit ribosomal RNA", at positions 587 to 942 of the family's 1831-position model. The record is from RNAcentral.